GGCUGACAACAUGCAUGCAGGUCGGUUGAGGCAGUGGUGGGAAAGCUACGGCCCGCCGGCCAUUUUAGGCCCACCGUGCAGCUCUAAUAAAUGAAGAAAUAAAUAAAACGUACUAAACAAAAUAGCAGUGAGACUUUAACGAAAGGAUGAGCAAGUAAUCCAAUUCAUCAAUAUCACCGUUUUCAAAUUGCAACGGUUGCAAUUUUGAAAACAUCUACAUUGUCAGUGUCUAGGAUAGAUUAGUGCUGAAGAAGUGUAGUCCACAUGUCUACUUAUCAUUCAGUGUUCCAUGAAAGAUGUAAGUGGAAACGCCACAUAUUUGGUUGCAUUAUUGUUGGAAACAGACCUAUAACUGACUUAUGUUUAUACCACACUUGUUUGGUAGCAUUUUAUGAAGUUGGAGUGAACACUCAAAAGACAAGUCAAAGUCUUUAGUGAGUGAACACCUCGGAUUGAAGUAGAUGAAGAAAAUGACAUAUGAUAGUUUAUUUUACUACAGUUUAAUUCUUUGCUUUUUUUAAUGCACCAGUCGAGUAACUUAAAGUACUCACAUAUUACAUUUUUUUUGGAUUCGUAUUUUGUUGUCACAUCAACAUCAAACAUAGAUGUUUUUAAUUUAUGUUUGUGAUUGAUUGUAGGAGUUUUAAAGUUAGGUUUCCCAAAACAACUUUUCCUCAACAGCACAAUGCAAGGGACAUUAAACGCUUUUGGACUUGCAUGACAAAACAGAGUCCGUUACUUCAGUUCCAAUUUCGGGGUGACUUCAGUGCAUAUUUAAAAAAAACAUAUUUAUAGUUUGAGUUGUUAUGUUUGCGCCCAACAACACUUGUGUGUUUGCAUCUUAAAUUGAAGAUAUGGCCCACAAAAACAGCAACGGACAAACAACAUGUUGUCUAAUUGCUGUCAACUGAUUCCAUUUAGGAGAUGACAUCAAGAUGUGCCUUAUCCAAGAAAUCAUUUCCCUCUCGUUGCUGGCAUUCUACAUUCAACAUAGUUUCCCCACAUAAGUUGCUGAUUGUCAGGCUGAAGUUAAUGUAAUAGGCACAAAAGUGGUACGUUAGGCAACAUGGAGUUUGCAUUUAGUCCAACAUACUUUGUAUGUCCAGCUUUUUAUUUGUCUGAAGUCGCCAAAUCAAUACCAUUCUGAUGUAUACUUGUUUUUUAAACCUUGUUAUUCAAUUGACAAAUUCAGUUUUGAAAUGC
Long non-coding RNA from Hippocampus zosterae (dwarf seahorse), 1203 nucleotides. RefSeq lists it as uncharacterized. The record is from RefSeq and is a predicted model, not a curated record. Lineage: Eukaryota; Metazoa; Chordata; Actinopteri; Syngnathiformes; Syngnathidae. The transcript is spliced from 2 exons.